RNAcentral lists this long non-coding RNA (806 nucleotides) under Phasianus colchicus (ring-necked pheasant). RNAcentral describes it as "lncRNA (ENSPCLG00000017753.1)". Lineage: Eukaryota; Metazoa; Chordata; Aves; Galliformes; Phasianidae. The record is from RNAcentral.
CACUGCUUCUGUUCCCGCUGCAGGACAUGGCCAAGAGUGCUGGGCUUCGCUGUUUCCAGUGCCCUCUGUGCAGAGACAGAGAGGUCUUUAUUCAAGAAAUGGUCAAUUUGGGGAUCCACAUCCCAGCCAGGUUAGUGUCCUUCAGCCAGCUCUCGAGACAUGAGGGCACAAGAGCUGUGCCAGCCCAAGGACUGUCCCGGCAGGCCUGGCCCUUUGCUGCCCGUGAUCAGUGGCCUCAGCUUCACACAUAUGGUGGAACGGCAGUCAGGCUGGAAGAGCAGGGAUGGCUUUGGCUGCUCUUAGUCUCGAGGCACUGGGAGCUCAUCACAUUCCCUCCCUUCUCUGGCAGAAAACCAAAGUGGGAGACCAACCGUGCCUACGCAUCCCUGGGAGUCAGGCACAGGAGCUGCAAUGCCAGCGACUGCCGUUCCCCACACGGCAGGGAUCGGGCAGAGGCAGAGGGGCCCUGGCAGCUGCUCCUCUGCAGCUCCUGUGCUGCACAAGGCACCCACAGACUCUGCUCCAACUUGAGUCCAAGGACAUCUGAAUGGGAGUGCAACGCCUGUGCUGGAGAGGGCACCGCCUCCAGCACCAACGUGGACAGCGCUGGCCCCACCACCACCAGCCAGCAGGGACCGGGGCCAUCCCAAGGCCCCAUAGCACAGGAGAGCAGCAGCUCCGGCACCACCAACCAGGCACCGUCGGGACCAGAUCCCAGUUCCCAGGUGCCUGAGCUGCUCUCCAGGCAGGCAGGGCGGGCCCGGACUCGGAGCCGCUCGCCUCUCACACAUCGGGCUGCAGAGAAC